GGGUUGUGAGGUUAAGCGACUAAGCGUACACGGUGGAUGCCCUGGCAGUCAGAGGCGAUGAAGGACGUGCUAAUCUGCGAUAAGCGUCGGUAAGGUGAUAUGAACCGUUAUAACCGGCGAUUUCCGAAUGGGGAAACCCAGUGUGAUUCGUCACACUAUCAUUAACUGAAUCCAUAGGUUAAUGAGGCGAACCGGGGGAACUGAAACAUCUAAGUACCCCGAGGAAAAGAAAUCAACCGAGAUUCCCCCAGUAGCGGCGAGCGAACGGGGAGCAGCCCAGAGCCUGAAUCAGUGUGUGUGUUAGUGGAAGCGUCUGGAAAGGCGCGCGAUACAGGGUGACAGCCCCGUACACAAAAAUGCACAUGCUGUGAGCUCGAUGAGUAGGGCGGGACACGUGGUAUCCUGUCUGAAUAUGGGGGGACCAUCCUCCAAGGCUAAAUACUCCUGACUGACCGAUAGUGAACCAGUACCGUGAGGGAAAGGCGAAAAGAACCCCGGCGAGGGGAGUGAAAAAGAACCUGAAACCGUGUACGUACAAGCAGUGGGAGCACAGAGCAAUCUGUGUGACUGCGUACCUUUUGUAUAAUGGGUCAGCGACUUAUAUUCUGUAGCAAGGUUAACCGAAUAGGGGAGCCGAAGGGAAACCGAGUCUUAACUGGGCGUUAAGUUGCAGGGUAUAGACCCGAAACCCGGUGAUCUAGCCAUGGGCAGGUUGAAGGUUGGGUAACACUAACUGGAGGACCGAACCGACUAAUGUUGAAAAAUUAGCGGAUGACUUGUGGCUGGGGGUGAAAGGCCAAUCAAACCGGGAGAUAGCUGGUUCUCCCCGAAAGCUAUUUAGGUAGCGCCUCGUGAAUUCAUCUCCGGGGGUAGAGCACUGUUUCGGCAAGGGGGUCAUCCCGACUUACCAACCCGAUGCAAACUGCGAAUACCGGAGAAUGUUAUCACGGGAGACACACGGCGGGUGCUAACGUCCGUCGUGAAGAGGGAAACAACCCAGACCGCCAGCUAAGGUCCCAAAGUCAUGGUUAAGUGGGAAACGAUGUGGGAAGGCCCAGACAGCCAGGAUGUUGGCUUAGAAGCAGCCAUCAUUUAAAGAAAGCGUAAUAGCUCACUGGUCGAGUCGGCCUGCGCGGAAGAUGUAACGGGGCUAAACCAUGCACCGAAGCUGCGGCAGCGACGCUUAUGCGUUGUUGGGUAGGGGAGCGUUCUGUAAGCCUGCGAAGGUGUGCUGUGAGGCAUGCUGGAGGUAUCAGAAGUGCGAAUGCUGACAUAAGUAACGAUAAAGCGGGUGAAAAGCCCGCUCGCCGGAAGACCAAGGGUUCCUGUCCAACGUUAAUCGGGGCAGGGUGAGUCGACCCCUAAGGCGAGGCCGAAAGGCGUAGUCGAUGGGAAACAGGUUAAUAUUCCUGUACUUGGUGUUACUGCGAAGGGGGGACGGAGAAGGCUAUGUUGGCCGGGCGACGGUUGUCCCGGUUUAAGCGUGUAGGCUGGUUUUCCAGGCAAAUCCGGAAAAUCAAGGCUGAGGCGUGAUGACGAGGCACUACGGUGCUGAAGCAACAAAUGCCCUGCUUCCAGGAAAAGCCUCUAAGCAUCAGGUAACAUCAAAUCGUACCCCAAACCGACACAGGUGGUCAGGUAGAGAAUACCAAGGCGCUUGAGAGAACUCGGGUGAAGGAACUAGGCAAAAUGGUGCCGUAACUUCGGGAGAAGGCACGCUGAUAUGUAGGUGAAGCGACUUGCUCGUGGAGCUGAAAUCAGUCGAAGAUACCAGCUGGCUGCAACUGUUUAUUAAAAACACAGCACUGUGCAAACACGAAAGUGGACGUAUACGGUGUGACGCCUGCCCGGUGCCGGAAGGUUAAUUGAUGGGGUUAGCGCAAGCGAAGCUCUUGAUCGAAGCCCCGGUAAACGGCGGCCGUAACUAUAACGGUCCUAAGGUAGCGAAAUUCCUUGUCGGGUAAGUUCCGACCUGCACGAAUGGCGUAAUGAUGGCCAGGCUGUCUCCACCCGAGACUCAGUGAAAUUGAACUCGCUGUGAAGAUGCAGUGUACCCGCGGCAAGACGGAAAGACCCCGUGAACCUUUACUAUAGCUUGACACUGAACAUUGAGCCUUGAUGUGUAGGAUAGGUGGGAGGCUUUGAAGUGUGGACGCCAGUCUGCAUGGAGCCGACCUUGAAAUACCACCCUUUAAUGUUUGAUGUUCUAACGUUGACCCGUAAUCCGGGUUGCGGACAGUGUCUGGUGGGUAGUUUGACUGGGGCGGUCUCCUCCUAAAGAGUAACGGAGGAGCACGAAGGUUGGCUAAUCCUGGUCGGACAUCAGGAGGUUAGUGCAAUGGCAUAAGCCAGCUUGACUGCGAGCGUGACGGCGCGAGCAGGUGCGAAAGCAGGUCAUAGUGAUCCGGUGGUUCUGAAUGGAAGGGCCAUCGCUCAACGGAUAAAAGGUACUCCGGGGAUAACAGGCUGAUACCGCCCAAGAGUUCAUAUCGACGGCGGUGUUUGGCACCUCGAUGUCGGCUCAUCACAUCCUGGGGCUGAAGUAGGUCCCAAGGGUAUGGCUGUUCGCCAUUUAAAGUGGUACGCGAGCUGGGUUUAGAACGUCGUGAGACAGUUCGGUCCCUAUCUGCCGUGGGCGCUGGAGAAUUGAGGGGGGCUGCUCCUAGUACGAGAGGACCGGAGUGGACGCAUCACUGGUGUUCGGGUUGUCAUGCCAAUGGCACUGCCCGGUAGCUAAAUGCGGAAGAGAUAAGUGCUGAAAGCAUCUAAGCACGAAACUUGCCCCGAGAUGAGUUCUCCCUGACUCCUUGAGAGUCCUGAAGGAACGUUGAAGACGACGACGUUGAUAGGCCGGGUGUGUAAGCGCAGCGAUGCGUUGAGCUAACCGGUACUAAUGAACCGUGAGGCUUAACCUUACAACGCCGAAGCUGUU
This 2932-nucleotide ribosomal RNA is filed under the name Escherichia coli. RNAcentral describes it as "bacterial LSU rRNA". It matches the Rfam family "Bacterial large subunit ribosomal RNA". The record is from RNAcentral. Lineage: Bacteria; Pseudomonadati; Pseudomonadota; Gammaproteobacteria; Enterobacterales; Enterobacteriaceae.